Strongylocentrotus purpuratus (purple sea urchin) is the source of this 476-nucleotide long non-coding RNA. RefSeq lists it as uncharacterized. The transcript is spliced from 2 exons. The record is from RefSeq and is a predicted model, not a curated record. Lineage: Eukaryota; Metazoa; Echinodermata; Echinoidea; Camarodonta; Strongylocentrotidae.
GGGGGAGAGGGAGGGAGAGAGAGAGAGAGAGAGAGAGAGAGGGAGAGAACCAAGUUUGUCAUGUAAGCCUCAAGAAGGAAUCCAGGCACGAAGCAAAAGAUAUGUAUGCAAUCUAUUGGAUUGGACAACUGCAUAAUUUGUUGAGAAGUUUUUUUCUUAAAAAAAAUAUCCUUCAUUAAUGACCACGGCCAAACAGCAAGCCUAUCUGUAUCGCGGUGCAAACAGAAACCUUAUUAUGUUCUCCUUUUUUAAUUUUCUGAGACUGAUAGUUCAACAAUCCUACUACUUUCACGGCCAAGGGCAAUCCAACCCUUGUAAUAGGUUAAUUUGUAUAUAAGCAGACAUGUAAGAGAAAUAUACAUAAAUUGGACCAAUAAUAAGAAAAGUAUGAAUGUUUGAAAUAUAAAAUCCCUAAGUCUAUGCGAAUCUCAAAUUGGCAGUUUUAUAUUUGGAUAAAUUUCCCGUUUGUCGUGUAU